RNAcentral lists this ribosomal RNA (850 nucleotides) under uncultured Bacteroidota bacterium. RNAcentral's name for it is "bacterial SSU rRNA". It matches the Rfam family "Bacterial small subunit ribosomal RNA", at positions 475 to 1330 of the family's 1533-position model. The record is from RNAcentral. Lineage: Bacteria; Pseudomonadati; Bacteroidota.
GUACUUCAGGAAUAAGCACCGGCUAACUCCGUGCCAGCAGCCGCGGUAAUACGGAGGGUGCGAGCGUUAUCCGGAAUCACUGGGUUUAAAGGGUGCGUAGGCGGGAUAAUAAGUCAGUGGUGAAAUCCUGCGGCUUAACCGUAGAAUUGUCAUUGAUACUGUUAUUCUUGAGUUCAGUUGAGGUGGGCGGAAUGUAUAAUGUAGCGGUGAAAUGCUUAGAUAUUAUACAGAACACCGAUUGCGAAGGCAGCUCACUAAGCUGAUACUGACGCUGAGGCACGAAAGCGUGGGGAGCGAACAGGAUUAGAUACCCUGGUAGUCCACGCUGUAAACGAUGAUCACUCGCUGUUGGCAAUACAUCGUCAGCGGCUGAGCGAAAGCAUUAAGUGAUCCACCUGGGGAGUACGUCGGCAACGAUGAAACUCAAAGGAAUUGACGGGGGCCCGCACAAGCGGUGGAACAUGUGGUUUAAUUCGAUGAUACGCGAGGAACCUUACCUGGGCUUAAAUGCAGAACGACGGUUCCCGAAAGGGAUCCUUCUUCGGACGGACCGCAAGGUGCUGCAUGGUUGUCGUCAGCUCGUGCCGUGAGGUGUCGGGUUAAGUCCCAUAACGAGCGCAACCCCUAUUGUUAGUUGCCAGCGAGUAAUGUCGGGGACUCUAACGAAACUGCCGGUGUAAACCGAGAGGAAGGUGGGGAUGACGUCAAGUCAGUAUGGCCUUUAUGUCCAGGGCUACACACACGCUACAAUGGCCAGUACAGAGGGCAGCCAAGCCGUGAGGCGGAGCUAAUCCCACAAAGCUGGUCUCAGUUCAGAUUGCAGGCUGCAACCCGCCUGCAUGAAGUUGGA